Molecule: ribosomal RNA, 253 nt
Filed under: uncultured bacterium
Lineage: Bacteria
Description: partial 16S ribosomal RNA
Rfam family: Bacterial small subunit ribosomal RNA
Source: RNAcentral
GACAGAGGUUGCAAACGUUGUUCGGAAUUACUGGGCGUAAAGCGCGUGUAGGCGGCAGCGUAAGUCGGGCGUGAAAUCCCACGGCUCAACCGUGGAAGUGCACUCGAAACUGCGCAGCUAGAGUCCUGGAGAGGAAGGUGGAAUGCUUGGUGUAGAGGUGAAAUUCGUAGAUAUCAAGCGGAACACCGGUGGCGAAGGCGGCCUUCUGGACAGUGACUGACGCUGAGACGCGAAAGCGUGGGGAGCAAACAGG